This 397-nucleotide ribosomal RNA is filed under the name uncultured bacterium. Its description in RNAcentral is "partial 16S ribosomal RNA". It matches the Rfam family "Bacterial small subunit ribosomal RNA", at positions 523 to 918 of the family's 1533-position model. The record is from RNAcentral.
AUACGUAGGGGGCGAGCGUUGUCCGGAAUGAUUGGGCGUAAAGGGCGCGUAGGCGGCCCGGUAAGUCUGGAGUGAAAGUCCUGUUUUUAAGAUGGGAAUUGCUUUGGAUACUGUCGGGCUUGAGUGCAGGAGAGGUAAGUGGAAUUCCCAGUGUAGCGGUGAAAUGCGUAGAGAUUGGGAGGAACACCAGUGGCGAAGGCGACUUACUGGACUGUAACUGACGCUGAGGCGCGAAAGUGUGGGGAGCAAACAGGAUUAGAUACCCUGGUAGUCCACACUGUAAAUGAUGAAUGCUAGGUGUAGGGGGUAUCGACCCCUUCUGUGCCGCAGUCAACACAAUAAGCAUUCCGCCUGGGGAGUACGGCCGCAAGGUUGAAACUCAAAGGAAUUGACGGGG